GAUGAACGCUGGCGGCGUGCCUAAUACAUGCAAGUCGAGCGAACGGACGAGAAGCUUGCUUCUCUGAUGUUAGCGGCGGACGGGUGAGUAACACGUGGAUAACCUACCUAUAAGACUGGGAUAACUUCGGGAAACCGGAGCUAAUACCGGAUGAUAUUUUGAACCGCAUGGUUCAAAAGUGAAAGACGGUCUUGCUGUCUCUUAUCGAUGGAUCCGCGCUGCAUUAGCUAGUUGGUAAGGUAACGGCUUACCAAGGCAACGAUGCAUAGCCGACCUGAGAGGGUGUUCGGCCACACUGGACCUGGGACACGGUCCAGACUCCUACGGGAGGCAGCAGAAGGGAAUCUUCCGCAAUGGGGGAAAGCCUGCCGGAGCAACGCCGCGUGGGGGAGGAAGGUCUUCGGAUCGUAAACCUCUGUUAUUAGGGAAGAACAGAUGUGUAAGUAACUGUGCACAUCUUGACGGUACCUAAUCAGAAGGCCACGGCUAACUACGUG
This 497-nucleotide ribosomal RNA is filed under the name uncultured bacterium. RNAcentral describes it as "partial 16S ribosomal RNA". It matches the Rfam family "Bacterial small subunit ribosomal RNA", at positions 28 to 507 of the family's 1533-position model. The record is from RNAcentral.